ACCCCCUCCCCGCACCCCCGGCGACAGGGGCCCGCGCGGGUGGGGGCGG
RNAcentral lists this non-coding RNA (49 nucleotides) under Papio hamadryas (hamadryas baboon). The record is from RNAcentral. Lineage: Eukaryota; Metazoa; Chordata; Mammalia; Primates; Cercopithecidae.